Molecule: ribosomal RNA, 429 nt
Filed under: Actinomycetes bacterium
Lineage: Bacteria; Bacillati; Actinomycetota; Actinomycetes
Description: Actinobacteria bacterium partial 16S ribosomal RNA
Rfam family: Bacterial small subunit ribosomal RNA
Source: RNAcentral
UAGGGAAUCUUCCGCAAUGGGCGAAAGCCUGACGGAGCAACGCCGCGUGAGUGAUGAAGGUCUUCGGAUCGUAAAACUCUGUUAUUAGGGAAGAACAAAUGUGUAAGUAACUAUGCACGUCUUGACGGUACCUAAUCAGAAAGCCACGGCUAACUACGUGCCAGCCGCCGCGGUAAUACGUAGGUGGCAAGCGUUAUCCGGAAUUAUUGGGCGUAAAGCGCGCGUAGGCGGUUUUUUAAGUCUGAUGUGAAAGCCCACGGCUCAACCGUGGAGGGUCAUUGGAAACUGGAAAACUUGAGUGCAGAAGAGGAAAGUGGAAUUCCAUGUGUAGCGGUGAAAUGCGCAGAGAUAUGGAGGAACACCAGUGGCGAAGGCGACUUUCUGGUCUGUAACUGACGCUGAUGUGCGAAAGCGUGGGGAUCAAACAGG